AAUAUCAGUGUUGUCAGUGUCCGCAAACGUCAAUUUGAAACAAAGACUCAUUUAAAGGACAAGUAAUUGCAAGCCAAUAAUUUUCCCAGUCGCAGUUCUUCCAUGCAACAACUGCAAGGGUGCCUUAUCAUAUGCUAGUAAGUCUGGUAAAGACAAAAAUUUAUACAGCCUUUCCCCAAGGCAAAAGUUUGAAGGGAUCUAAAGUUGCAAAUUUACCAGAGUCUAAACUCAUUACAUAGAUCGACUAAAAACAUGACCACACUGAAAUGUUCACUUAUGUAAUCCAUGGUUACAUCACCAAAAUAAUUUAACUUUUCCAACAAAAAGGUUCAUG
Molecule: long non-coding RNA, 334 nt
Filed under: Capsicum annuum
Lineage: Eukaryota; Viridiplantae; Streptophyta; Magnoliopsida; Solanales; Solanaceae
Description: long non-coding RNA (CANN_LNC016227)
Source: RNAcentral